This 440-nucleotide ribosomal RNA is filed under the name uncultured bacterium. RNAcentral describes it as "partial 16S ribosomal RNA". It matches the Rfam family "Bacterial small subunit ribosomal RNA", at positions 338 to 795 of the family's 1533-position model. The record is from RNAcentral.
CCUACGGGAGGCAGCAGUGGGGAAUAUUGCACAAUGGGGGAAACCCUGAUGCAGCGACGCCGCGUGAGUGAAGAAGUAAUUCGUUAUGUAAAGCUCUAUCAGCAGGGAAGAAAAUGACGGUACCUGAGGAAGAAGCCACGGCUAAAUACGUGGCCGCAGCCGCGGUACUACGUAGGGGGCAAGCGUUAUCCGGAUUUACUGGGUGUAAAGGGAGCGUAGACGGCAGUGCAAGGCCGGAGGUAAAGGCGGGGGCUCAACCCGCGGACUGCUCUUGAAACUGUACGGCUGGAGUGCAGGAGAGGUAAGUGGAAUUCGUAGUGUAGCGGUGAAAUGCGUAGAUAUUAGGAGGAACACCAGUGGCGAAGGCGGCUUACUGGACUGUAACUGACGUUGAGGCUCGAAAGCGUGGGGAGCAAACAGGAUUAGAUACCCGGGUAGUC